AAGUGAGGAAAAUGGAUGUUCCUGUUAAUUGGUUAAUUUCUAUGUUGUUGGUUGAAGAAGGAUGCUAACCGCCCUUGAGAAAAUGUUGCUAGCGGGAAGCGUCGUUCGUGAGAAAAGCAGAUUUCCCGUAUCUUCCCGUAGUAGAUUUAUAGCGGGUCCUCAGGCUAGCUGUACAUGCACUGUGAAGAUGCAUCGACAUCUGGUAAUCAUCUUGCCCGAAGAAUAGGGUUUGUGUGUGGCGAGCCACGAGAUAGAAACCAUUGGAAUGUUUACUGUUGACUGCCGCUACCACUAUUUCUUUUUAAGAAGAG
This 311-nucleotide unclassified non-coding RNA is filed under the name Bombus terrestris (buff-tailed bumblebee). Its description in RNAcentral is "misc RNA ENSBTSG00005038289.1". The record is from RNAcentral. Lineage: Eukaryota; Metazoa; Arthropoda; Insecta; Hymenoptera; Apidae.